GAUGGACGCCGGCGGUGUGCCUAAUACAUGCAAGUCGAACGCGUUGGCCUAAUUGAUUGAUGGUGCUUGCACCUGAUUGAUUUUGGUCGCCAACGAGUGGCGGACGGGUGAGUAACACGUAGGUAACCUGCCCAGAAGCGGGGGACAACAUUUGGAAACAGAUGCUAAUACCGCAUAACAGCGUUGUUCGCAUGAACAACGCUUAAAAGAUGGCUUCUCGCUAUCACUUCUGGAUGGACCUGCGGUGCAUUAGCGUGUUGGUGGGGUAACGGCCUACCAAGGCGAUGAUGCAUAGCCGAGUUGAGAGACUGAUCGGCCACAAUGGGACUGAGACACGGCCCAUACUCCUACGGGAGGCAGCAGUAGGGAAUCUUCCACAAUGGGCGCAAGCCUGAUGGAGCAACACCGCGUGAGUGAAGAAGGGUUUCGGCUCGUAAAGCUCUGUUGUUAAAGAAGAACACGUAUGAGAGUAACUGUUCAUACGUUGACGGUAUUUAACCAGAAAGUCACGGCUAACUACGUG
RNAcentral lists this ribosomal RNA (523 nucleotides) under uncultured bacterium. Its description in RNAcentral is "partial 16S ribosomal RNA". It matches the Rfam family "Bacterial small subunit ribosomal RNA", at positions 28 to 507 of the family's 1533-position model. The record is from RNAcentral.